Long non-coding RNA from Homo sapiens (human), 712 nucleotides. Ensembl annotates it as long intergenic non-protein coding RNA 2045. NCBI's taxonomy places the organism in Eukaryota, Metazoa, Chordata, Mammalia, Primates, Hominidae. The record is from Ensembl.
GGGAACUUGUUCCGGUGCUAUUCCAGUUUGUGGAAGCUUCGUUCUUUUGCUCUUUGCAAGAAAUCUUGCUACUGCUCACUCUUUGGGUCCAUGCUGCCUUUAUGAGCUGUAACACUCACCGUGGAGGUCUGCACCUUCACUCCUGAGCCAGCGGGACCACGAACCCACCAGAAGGAAGAAACUCCCAACAUCAAAACGAACAAACUCUGGACAGGCCACCUUUAAGAACCGUAACACUCAGGCGAGGUUUUGCAGUCUCAUUCUUGGAGUCAGUGAAACCAAGAACCCACCAAUUCCGGACACGAGUGCAGAGUUGAUGUGAGAAGAAGCUAAUAUGGUAUGAAAUGCACCCAUCUCGGUUUUUGACCUAUAGUAUUAAAUGCACCCAUCUCAGUUUUUGACAUAUGGCACCAGGAUUACAAAGCUUAACAAGUCAUGAUUUAGAUUCAGAAGUUACAAAGAGUGGAAAAGGUCAUAUUCUUUCUUAUGAGGAGACAAGAACUCAGGUUGCUGCAGAUCCAUAUGGAGGAUAUGCCUCUGGUUACAUAUUUUGGUGCCAUGUGAGUCGGAUACGUUCUGUUGCUAACAAUACAGUACGUAACCUUUUGAGAAUGGCUUCCUUCACUCAACGUGAUGCUUUUGAGAUUCAUCCAAGUUGUUAUGGGCAUCAGUUGCCAGCUCUUUUUAAUGGAAAGUAAAUCUACUUGCAAAG